Molecule: ribosomal RNA, 653 nt
Filed under: uncultured bacterium
Lineage: Bacteria
Description: bacterial SSU rRNA
Rfam family: Bacterial small subunit ribosomal RNA
Source: RNAcentral
AUGCAGUCGAGGGGCAGCGAGGGAGUGGCAACACUUCUGUCGGCGACCGGCGCACGGGUGAGUAACGCGUAUGCAACCUGCCCUUCACAGGGGGAUAACCGGGAGAAAUUCCGACUAAUACCGCAUACGUCCCCUGGGGGCAUCCCCUGGGGAUGAAAGAAUUAUCGGUGAAGGAUGGGCAUGCGUGAUAUUAGGUAGUUGGCGGGGCAACGGCCCACCAAGCCCACGAUAUCUAGGGGUUCUGAGAGGAAGGUCCCCCACAUUGGUACUGAGACACGGACCAAACUCCUACGGGAGGCAGCAGUGAGGAAUAUUGGUCAAUGGACGAGAGUCUGAACCAGCCAAGUCGCGUGAAGGAAGACGGAUCUAUGGUUUGUAAACUUCUUUAGUGCGGGAACAAAGCGGCGUCGUGACGCCGGAUGAGUGUACCGCAAGAAUAAGCAUCGGCUAACUCCGUGCCAGCAGCCGCGGUAAUACGGAGGAUGCGAGCGUUAUCCGGAUUUAUUGGGUUUAAAGGGAGCGCAGGCUGCGAGGCAAGUCAGCGGUCAAAUGUCGGGGCUCAACCCCGGCCUGCCGUUGAAACUGUCCUGCUAGAGUUCGAGUGAGGUAUGCGGAAUGCGUUGUGUAGCGGUGAAAUGCAUAGAUAUGACGCA